GUUUAUGACAUAUACUACAGCCAGCCAUAAGGGGGAUAUCGAGAUGUUUUGGCUUCACUUUUGGGGAGCUCUCAUGUCCCUUCCCUGGAUGGAAUCUUGAAUGGAGCCCUGCUGGUUACUCCAAGGUGGACUCACUGGCUAUGGAACUCACACACACCCAUCUGGUACCAUCCCUCUGAGCCCAGGCUGAGGUUGGCAGGGACCAUCUAGUGGUUAUCAGAGGACACACAGCUUCUGCAACACUUGCAUAACGACAACCUUGUUCAGUGUGUUUCUUCUUUACUAAUGGAGUCAGAAGUAUGUCAUGCGCUAUUUAUCCCUCAGCUACACAUUCAA
Long non-coding RNA from Epinephelus fuscoguttatus (brown-marbled grouper), 336 nucleotides. RefSeq lists it as uncharacterized. The record is from RefSeq and is a predicted model, not a curated record. The transcript is spliced from 3 exons. NCBI's taxonomy places the organism in Eukaryota, Metazoa, Chordata, Actinopteri, Perciformes, Serranidae.